This 238-nucleotide ribosomal RNA is filed under the name uncultured bacterium. RNAcentral's name for it is "partial 16S ribosomal RNA". It matches the Rfam family "Bacterial small subunit ribosomal RNA", at positions 15 to 244 of the family's 1533-position model. The record is from RNAcentral.
GAUCCUGGCUCAGGAUAAACGCUGGCGGCGCACAUAAGACAUGCAAGUCGAACGAACUUAACCAUUAGUUUACUAUUGGAGCGGUUAGUGGCGGACUGGUGAGUAACACGUAAGCAACCUGCCUAUCAGAGGGGAACGAACAGUUAGAAAUGACUGCUAAUACCGCAUAUGCCUUAGAAUCACAUGGUUCAAAAGGGAAAGGAGCAAUCCGCUGAUAGAUGGGCUUGCGUCUGAUUAG